GACGAACGCUGGCGGCGUGCCUAAUACAUGCAAGUAGAACGCUGAAGGAGGAGCUUGCUCUUCUGGAUGAGUUGCGAACGGGUGAGUAACGCGUAGGUAACCUGCCUGGUAGCGGGGGAUAACUAUUGGAAACGAUAGCUAAUACCGCAUAACAGUAGAUGUUGCAUGACAUUUACUUAAAAGGUGCAAUUGCAUCACUACCAGAUGGACCUGCGUUGUAUUAGCUAGUUGGUGGGGCAACGGCUCACCAAGGCGACGAUACAUAGCCGACCUGAGAGGGUGAUCGGCCACACUGGGACUGAGACACGGCCCAGACUCCUACGGGAGGCAGCAGUAGGGAAUCUUCGGCAAUGGACGGAAGUCUGACCGAGCAACGCCGCGUGAGUGAAGAAGGUUUUCGGAUCGUAAAGCUCUGUUGUAAGAGAAGAACGAGUGUGAGAGUGGAAAGUUCACACUGUGACGGUAUCUUACCAGAAAGGGACGGCUAACUACGUG
Molecule: ribosomal RNA, 495 nt
Filed under: uncultured bacterium
Lineage: Bacteria
Description: partial 16S ribosomal RNA
Rfam family: Bacterial small subunit ribosomal RNA
Source: RNAcentral